Molecule: ribosomal RNA, 473 nt
Filed under: uncultured bacterium
Lineage: Bacteria
Description: bacterial SSU rRNA
Rfam family: Bacterial small subunit ribosomal RNA
Source: RNAcentral
GAUGAACGCUAGCGACAGGCUUAACACAUGCAAGUCGAGGGGCAGCGGGGUUGAAGCUUGCUUCAACUGCCGGCGACCGGCGCACGGGUGAGUAACACGUAUGCAACCUGCCCGUCACAGGGGAAUAACCGGAAGAAAUUCCGACUAAUUCCGCGUAACACUGUUAUCAGGCAUCUGGUGACAGUCAAAGGAGAGAUCCGGUGACGGAUGGGCAUGCGGCGCAUUAGCUAGUCGGCGGGGUAACGGCCCACCGAGGCGACGAUGCGUAGGGGUUCUGAGAGGAAGGUCCCCCACACUGGUACUGAGACACGGACCAGACUCCUACGGGAGGCAGCAGUGGGGAAUAUUGGGCAAUGGGCGCAAGCCUGACCCAGCAACGCCGCGUGAAGGAAGAAGGUCUUCGGAUUGUAAACUUUUGUUGUCAGUGAAGAAAAAGGACUGUAACUGACGAGAAAGCCCCGGCUAACUACGUG